This 911-nucleotide ribosomal RNA is filed under the name Pestalotiopsis kenyana. RNAcentral describes it as "LSU rRNA". It matches the Rfam family "Eukaryotic large subunit ribosomal RNA", at positions 38 to 966 of the family's 3401-position model. Lineage: Eukaryota; Fungi; Ascomycota; Sordariomycetes; Amphisphaeriales; Sporocadaceae. The record is from RNAcentral.
GCAUAUCCAAUAAGCCGGAAGGAAAAAGAAACCAACAGGGGAUUGCCUUAGUAACCGGCGAGUGAAGCGGCAACAGCUCAAAUUUGAAAUCUGGCCCUCGGGUCCGAAUUGUAAUUUGUAGAGGAUGAUUUUGGUGCGGUAUCUUCCGAGUUCCUUGGAACAGGACGCCUUAGAGGGUGAGAGCCCCGUACGGUUGAAUGCCUAGCCUCUGUAAAUCUCCUUCGACGAGUCGAGUAGUUUGGGAAUGCUGCUCUAAAUGGGAGGUAAAUUUCUUCUAAAGCUAAAUAUUGGCCAGAGACCGAUAGCGCACAAGUAGAGUGAUCGAAAGAUGAAAAGCACUUUGAAAAGAGGGUUAAAUAGCACGUGAAAUUGUUGAAAGGGAAGGAUUUGUGACCAGACUUUUUCUGGGCGGAUCAUCCGGGGUUCUCUCCGGUGCACUUUGCCCAGUAAAGGCCAGCAUCGAUUUUCGGCGGCGGAUAAAAGCAGUGGGAAUGUGGCUCCCUACGGGGAGUGUUAUAGCCCAUUGUAUAAUACGCUGCUGGGGAUCGAGGUACGCGCUUCUGCAAGGAUGCUGGCGUAAUGGUUAUCAAUCACCCGUCUUGAAACACGGACCAAGGAGUCGAACAUUUAUGCGAGUGUUUGGGUGUUAAACCCUCACGCGUAAUGAAAGUGAACGGAGGUGAGAGCCCGUACGGGUGCAUCAUCGACCGAUCCUGAAGUUUUCGGAUGGAUUUGAGUAAGAGCAUAACUGUUCGGACCCGAAAGAUGGUGAACUAUGCGUGGAUAGGGUGAAGCCAGAGGAAACUCUGGUGGAGGCUCGCAGCGGUUCUGACGUGCAAAUCGAUCGUCAAAUCUGCGCAUGGGGGCGAAAGACUAAUCGAAACCAUCUAGUAGCUGGGUUACCGCCGAAG